Molecule: ribosomal RNA, 165 nt
Filed under: Malus toringoides
Lineage: Eukaryota; Viridiplantae; Streptophyta; Magnoliopsida; Rosales; Rosaceae
Description: 5.8S ribosomal RNA
Rfam family: 5.8S ribosomal RNA (bases 3-150)
About the family: 5.8S ribosomal RNA (5.8S rRNA) is a component of the large subunit of the eukaryotic ribosome.
Source: RNAcentral
CGGCAACGGAUAUCUCGGCUCUCGCAUCGAUGAAGAACGUAGCGAAAUGCGAUACUUGGUGUGAAUUGCAGAAUCCCGUGAACCAUCGAGUCUUUGAACGUAAGUUGCGCCCGAAGCCAUCAGGCCGAGGGCACGCCUGCCUGGGCGUCACACGCCGUUGCCCCC